This 253-nucleotide unclassified non-coding RNA is filed under the name Inquilinus sp. RNAcentral describes it as "partial 16S ribosomal RNA". It matches the Rfam family "Bacterial small subunit ribosomal RNA", at positions 524 to 776 of the family's 1533-position model. The record is from RNAcentral. Lineage: Bacteria; Pseudomonadati; Pseudomonadota; Alphaproteobacteria; Rhodospirillales; Rhodospirillaceae. RNAcentral also lists the same sequence under 1 other name.
UACGGAGGGGGCAAGCGUUGUUCGGAAUUACUGGGCGUAAAGGGCGCGUAGGCGGCCAGUCGCGUCAGAUGUGAAAGCCCCGGGCUCAACCUGGGAACUGCAUUUGAAACGGGCUGGCUUGGAUCCGAGAGAGGAGUGUGGAAUUCCCAGUGUAGAGGUGGAAUUCGUAGAUAUUGGGAAGAACACCAGUGGCGAAGGCGGCACUCUGGCUCGGUAUCGACGCUGAGGCGCGAAAGCGUGGGGAGCAAACAGG